Molecule: ribosomal RNA, 495 nt
Filed under: uncultured bacterium
Lineage: Bacteria
Description: partial 16S ribosomal RNA
Rfam family: Bacterial small subunit ribosomal RNA
Source: RNAcentral
GACGAACGCUGGCGGCGUGCCUAAUACAUGCAAGUAGAACGCUGAAGGAGGAGCUUGCUUCUCUGGAUGAGUUGCGAACGGGUGAGUAACGCGUAGGUAACCUGCCUGGUAGCGGGGGAUAACUAUUGGAAACGAUAGCUAAUACCGCAUAAUAGUAGAUGUCGCAUGACAUUUGCUUAAAAGGUGCAAUUGCAUCACUACCAGAUGGACCUGCGUUGUAUUAGCUAGUUGGUGAGGUAACGGCUCACCAAGGCAACGAUACAUAGCCGACCUGAGAGGGUGAUCGGCCACACUGGGACUGAGACACGGCCCAGACUCCUACGGGAGGCAGCAGCAGGGAAUCUUCGGCAAUGGACGGAAGUCUGACCGAGCAACGCCGCGUGAGUGAAGAAGGUUUUCGGAUCGUAAAGCUCUGUUGUAAGAGAAGAACGAGUGUGAGAGUGGAAAGUUCACACUGUGACGGUAUCUUACCAGAAAGGGACGGCUAACUACGUG